GGUGGUGUAGGGGUUAAGCAUGCAACCAUGUGCAGAGGCUAUACUCCUCAGUGCGACUGUCCCGGGUUCGAAUCCCGGACCU
This is a non-coding RNA of Ataeniobius toweri, 82 nucleotides long. The record is from the annotation of a GenBank genome assembly. NCBI's taxonomy places the organism in Eukaryota, Metazoa, Chordata, Actinopteri, Cyprinodontiformes, Goodeidae.